This 253-nucleotide ribosomal RNA is filed under the name uncultured bacterium. RNAcentral's name for it is "partial 16S ribosomal RNA". It matches the Rfam family "Bacterial small subunit ribosomal RNA", at positions 524 to 776 of the family's 1533-position model. The record is from RNAcentral.
UACGUAGGCAGCGAGCGUUGUUCGGAGUUACUGGGCGUAAAGAGUGCGUAGGCGGUUUUCUAAGUUUGGUGUGAAAUCUCCCGGCUUAACUGGGAGGGUGCGCCGAAAACUGGAAGGCUUGAGUAUGGGAGAGGUAAGCGGAAUUCCCAGUGUAGCGGUGAAAUGCGUAGAUAUUGGGAAGAACACCAGUGGCGUAAGCGACUUGCUGGGCUGUAACUGACGCUGAGGAACGAAAGCCAGGGGAGCGAAUGGG